Molecule: ribosomal RNA, 252 nt
Filed under: uncultured bacterium
Lineage: Bacteria
Description: partial 16S ribosomal RNA
Rfam family: Bacterial small subunit ribosomal RNA
Source: RNAcentral
CGUAGGGGCGAGCGUUAUCCGGAAUUAUUGGGCGUAAAGCGCGCGCAGGCGGCUGAUUAAGUCAGGUGUGAAAGGCUGCGGCUCAACCGCAGAGCGGCACCUGAAACUGGUCGGCUUGAGUGCAGGAGAGGGAGCGGAAUUCCCGGUGUAGCGGUGGAAUGCGUAGAGAUCGGGAGGAACACCAGUGGCGAAGGCGGCUCUCUGGCCUGUAACUGACGCUGAGGCGCGAAAGCGUGGGAGGCAAACAGGAUU